This 1328-nucleotide ribosomal RNA is filed under the name Clostridium perfringens. Its description in RNAcentral is "partial 23S ribosomal RNA". It matches the Rfam family "Bacterial large subunit ribosomal RNA", at positions 1587 to 2925 of the family's 2925-position model. The record is from RNAcentral. Lineage: Bacteria; Bacillati; Bacillota; Clostridia; Eubacteriales; Clostridiaceae.
GAAGUACAUGAUUCCACGCUGCCAAGAAAAGCGUCUAGAGAGAGAAGUAGUGCCCGUACCGCAAACCGACACAGGUAGGUGAGGAGAGAAUCCUAAGGCCGGCGGAAGAAUUACAGUUAAGGAACUCGGCAAAUUGACCCCGUAAGUUCGCGAGAAGGGGUGCCUACGAGAGUAGGCCGCAGAGAAUAGGCCCAAGCAACUGUUUAGCAAAAACACAGGUCUCUGCUAAAGCGUAAGCUGAUGUAUAGGGGCUGACGCCUGCCCGGUGCUGGAAGGUUAAGGGGAACACUUAGCGCAAGCGAAGGUGUGAACUUAAGCCCCAGUAAACGGCGGCCGUAACUAUAACGGUCCUAAGGUAGCGAAAUUCCUUGUCAGGUAAGUUCUGACCCGCACGAAUGGCGUAAUGACUUGGGCACUGUCUCAACUGUAAAUCCGGCGAAGUUGUAGUGCGAGUGAAGAUGCUCGCUACCCGCGAUUGGACGGAAAGACCCCGUAGAGCUUUACUGUAGCUUAGCAUUGAGUUUUGGUAUUGUCUGUACAGGAUAGGUGGGAGACUAGGAAACCAGGGCGUCAGCCUUGGUGGAGUCAACCUUGGGAUACCACCCUGACAGUACUGAAAUUCUAACUGGCGGCCAUGAAUCUGGUCACAGGACAUUGUUAGGUGGGCAGUUUGACUGGGGCGGUCGCCUCCUAAAAAGUAACGGAGGCGCCCAAAGGUUCCCUCAGAACGGUCGGAAAUCGUUCGAAGAGUGCAAAGGCAGAAGGGAGCCUGACUGCGACACCCACAAGUGGAGCAGGGACGAAAGUCGGGCUUAGUGAUCCGGUGGUACCUCGUGGGAGGGCCAUCGCUCAACGGAUAAAAGCUACCUCGGGGAUAACAGGCUGAUCUCCCCCAAGAGUCCACAUCGACGGGGAGGUUUGGCACCUCGAUGUCGGCUCGUCGCAUCCUGGGGCUGAAGUAGGUCCCAAGGGUUGGGCUGUUCGCCCAUUAAAGCGGCACGCGAGCUGGGUUCAGAACGUCGUGAGACAGUUCGGUCCCUAUCCGUCGCGGGCGUAGGAAAUUUGAGAGGAGCUGUCCUUAGUACGAGAGGACCGGGAUGGACUGACCUCUGGUGUACCAGUUGUUCCGCCAGGAGCACAGCUGGGUAGCUAAGUCGGGAAUGGAUAAACGCUGAAAGCAUCUAAGCGUGAAGCCAACCUCAAGAUGAGAUUUCCCAUAGCGUAAGCUAGUAAGAUCCCUUGAAGAACACAAGGUUGAUAGGUCGGGGGUGUAAGCAUGGUAACAUGUUCAGCUGACCGAUACUAAUAGAUCGAGGGCUUGACCAAAU